CCUCAUCCCCAAGGGCGGCGUCAUCAACGACCCCCUCUCCUCCAAGCGCGGCAUCAUCAACGACCCCCUCUCCUCCGAGCGCGCCGUCACCUACAGCAUCCUCUGCAAGGACGGCGAGACUGCGAUGGCGGACGUGCUGCCCCACAUCGUCCAUUCUGAGUUGGAGAAGAACCCAGGCUCCCCUACACUGAAGCGGCAGGAGCGCGAUGAAAACCCGGAAGAGGAGAAAUCUCUGUCCCCACCCAUGAAGCGUUGCGGUAAAGCACACCUCCCUCUAUCUUUUCAAUCCCAAUAUUCUCCACCCUGAACAUGUUGUAGUUCACCUGAGCAACUGUACUUUGAAAUCUGUGGUCAAUGAUUUCUCCUGAAUUGUUUAGUCACUGCGCAUAUAUGUUCUAGUUCACCUGCGCAAUUCUACUUUGAUGGUUUAUGAUUUCAAUUGAAUUGUUUAUUCUCCACCCUGAACAUGUUGUAGUUCACCUGAGCAACUGUACUUUGAAAUCUGUGGUCAAUGAUUUCUCCUGAAUUGUUAAGUCACUGCGCAUAUAUGUUCUAGUUCACCUGCGCAAUUCUACUCUGAUGGUU
Molecule: long non-coding RNA, 585 nt
Organism: Triticum dicoccoides
Lineage: Eukaryota; Viridiplantae; Streptophyta; Magnoliopsida; Poales; Poaceae
Exons: 3
Source: RefSeq, a predicted model, not a curated record